GAUGAACGCUGGCGGCGUGCCUAAUACAUGCAAGUCGAGCGAACGGACGAGAAGCUUGCUUCUCUGAUGUUAGCGGCGGACGGGUGAGUAACACGUGGAUAACCUACCUAUAAGACUGGGAUAACUUCGGAAAACCGUAGCUAAUACCGGAUAAUAUUUUGAACCGCAUGGUUCAAAAGUGAAAGACGGUCUUGCUGUCACUUAUAGAUGGAUCCGCGCUGCAUUAGCUAGUUGGUAAGGUAACGGCUUACCAAGGCAACGAUGCAUAGCCGACCUGGGAGGGUGAUCGGCCACACUGGAACUGAGACACGGUCCAGACUCCUACGGGAGGCAGCAGUAGGGAAUCUUCCGCAAUGGGCGAAAGCCUGACGGAGCAACGCCGCGUGAGUGAUGAAGGUCUUCGGAUCGUAAAACUCUGUUAUUAGGGAAGAACAUAUGUGUAAGUAACUGUGCACAUCUUGACGGUACCUAAUCAGAAAGCCACGGCUAACUACGUG
Molecule: ribosomal RNA, 497 nt
Filed under: uncultured bacterium
Lineage: Bacteria
Description: partial 16S ribosomal RNA
Rfam family: Bacterial small subunit ribosomal RNA
Source: RNAcentral